This 64-nucleotide transfer RNA is filed under the name Oplophorus typus. Its description in RNAcentral is "tRNA-His". It matches the Rfam family "tRNA". From Rfam's summary of the family: Transfer RNA (tRNA) molecules are approximately 80 nucleotides in length. Their secondary structure includes four short double-helical elements and three loops (D, anti-codon, and T loops). Lineage: Eukaryota; Metazoa; Arthropoda; Malacostraca; Decapoda; Oplophoridae. The record is from RNAcentral.
ACCCGGAUAGUUUAAUAAAAACAUUGGUUUGUGGAUCCAAAGAUAUAAGGUUUUAUUUUGGGUA